AACAAUCGGCACAGCACUCAUGCAUAGAACCUGGUCAGGACCGGAAGGUAGCAGCCAUACAAGCCUCUGUCUGCGUGUGCCGCUUUUUUGU
Molecule: signal recognition particle RNA, 91 nt
Filed under: Erysipelotrichaceae bacterium
Lineage: Bacteria; Bacillati; Bacillota; Erysipelotrichia; Erysipelotrichales; Erysipelotrichaceae
Description: signal recognition particle sRNA small type
Rfam family: Bacterial small signal recognition particle RNA
About the family: The signal recognition particle (SRP) is a universally conserved ribonucleoprotein involved in the co-translational targeting of proteins to membranes. Archaeal SRP consists of a 7S RNA and homologues of the eukaryotic SRP19 and SRP54 proteins.
Source: RNAcentral